CUCUGUAAUUCUGGGCCGUGUUCCGGAAGCCUCGUAAGACAAAAGCGAACGAGAGGCGGAAAAAAGGAAGACGCUUCCUGAAGUUGGGGAUGCUGGACUAGUUUUCAUACUAGAUCCCCUCGUGGCAGCAUUAAGGAACUUCACAUUCUUCUCACACUAUUCAUGGAAAGUUCCUGGAACUCCCACAGCAGCAAGAAAACUUCGCUUGUAGGAGUCCUUAGCACAUCUGUAAAGUUUUAUUGGCCAAAAUGUGAUACAUCUCCAUUUCUGGAUCAGUCACUGUGGUCAAGUGCAAGACGCUCUACAGGACUCAACCUGGGGAUGAGGUCUGUCUACUCCAUCCAUAUGGUCACUUUAUACUGAGGUUGGUUUCUUUUAAAGGUUGAGCUGACAGUCACAUCAGGAUUUGAUAAGUCAGAGCAGUGCUGAUGUUAUUACAAGGGUUGCUGCUUUUUAAGAGAUGAAAAGAUCCAAGGUGUGACACAGAAUGGAUGACUGGAGUGGAAAAAAUGAAAAUGUCAUUGGAAUAUGGAAGUAAAGAAACUGAGAAGCUGAGAGUUUUUGCAUCAUCCAGUCAGGUAUGGAAAUCACCAAGGAUAAAGGAAGGAACUGGGUUAGAAUGGAAGACCUUUUGCCAGGAAUGGAAGACUUCAGUAAAUGAAGAGAUUUGACUAGGAUGUUGGCAGAAGAUAGUGAGAAGGUCUAAGAAAGGGUGGUAUAUCCAGAUGACAUAAACAUCAAAAGAACGGUGAUUUUUGCAGGAGGGAAGGGGUGAAAUAAUUUGAAAGUAGCAAUGGGAGAGAGCAAGGAAUGCACCUACCUCCAAUCCUGGCCCUGACAUUCUCUCAGGGACCAGAUAGGUUUCAACUAAGGUAAGGCAAGGAGAUGAUGGGAAAAUGAGGGAAAGGGGACUGGACUGCUGAACACAGAUGAGAGUCACAUGAAACACUAGAAGGGUUUAUUUAGGGAGGGGGAGAAGUGGAGAGAAUAACAGUUUGUGGAUUAUGAUUUUAUGAGAAAAAGAAGGACUUAGAGAGGCUGGAACUUCUGCAGAUUAGUGAGCUACACAGGGAUGUGAAGCAUGAUUGGCUUGAACCUGGUAGUCUCAUCUUGUCAUCCUCUUAGUGGUGUGUGCAGCCUAAGGCAUUAAAUUAUGGUGCAGCCUCUGGGCUAAUAGUUACUCUCUCAACAGUGGAGAGUUCUACAUAAUUUGCCAUAAUUAGAUACAUUACCUUAGAGAAAGUGCUAAACCCUUCAAAAUCCCAGUUGCUUAAUCUAUG
This 1280-nucleotide long non-coding RNA is filed under the name Homo sapiens (human). Its description in RNAcentral is "non-protein coding lnc-CTTNBP2-3:9". The record is from RNAcentral. Lineage: Eukaryota; Metazoa; Chordata; Mammalia; Primates; Hominidae.